ACGGCAGCACAGAGGAGCUUGCUCCUUGGGUGGCGAGUGGCGGACGGGUGAGGAAUACAUCGGAAUCUACUCUGUCGUGGGGGAUAACGUAGGGAAACUUACGCUAAUACCGCAUACGACCUACGGGUGAAAGCAGGGGAUCUUCGGACCUUGCGCGAUUGAAUGAGCCGAUGUCGGAUUAGCUAGUUGGCGGGGUAAAGGCCCACCAAGGCGACGAUCCGUAGCUGGUCUGAGAGGAUGAUCAGCCACACUGGAACUGAGACACGGUCCAGACUCCUACGGGAGGCAGCAGUGGGGAAUAUUGGACAAUGGGCGCAAGCCUGAUCCAGCCAUACCGCGUGGGUGAAGAAGGCCUUCGGGUUGUAAAGCCCUUUUGUUGGGAAAGAAAUCCAGCUGGCUAAUACCCGGUUGGGAUGACGGUACCCAAAGAAUAAGCACCGGCUAACUUCGUGCCAGCAGCCGCGGUAAUACGAAGGGUGCAAGCGUUACUCGGAAUUACUGGGCGUAAAGCGUGCGUAGGUGGUCGUUUAAGUCCGUUGUGAAAGCCCUGGGCUCAACCUGGGAACUGCAGUGGAUACUGGGCGACUAGAGUGUGGUAGAGGGUAGCGGAAUUCCUGGUGUAGCAGUGAAAUGCGUAGAGAUCAGGAGGAACAUCCAUGGCGAAGGCAGCUACCUGGACCAACACUGACAC
This 691-nucleotide ribosomal RNA is filed under the name Stenotrophomonas geniculata. RNAcentral's name for it is "bacterial SSU rRNA". It matches the Rfam family "Bacterial small subunit ribosomal RNA", at positions 66 to 746 of the family's 1533-position model. The record is from RNAcentral. Lineage: Bacteria; Pseudomonadati; Pseudomonadota; Gammaproteobacteria; Lysobacterales; Lysobacteraceae.